Molecule: unclassified non-coding RNA, 121 nt
Filed under: fungal sp.
Lineage: Eukaryota; Fungi
Description: partial internal transcribed spacer region
Rfam family: Eukaryotic small subunit ribosomal RNA (bases 1-46)
Source: RNAcentral
AAGUCGUAACAAGGUUUCCGUAGGUGAACCUGCGGAAGGAUCAUUGAACUCCUCACCUCACCUGCCGCGAAAGCCGCAGGUGCAAAACGAACAACUGUUGACAAUGGAUAUCUUGGUUCUC